AGGCUCCUUCGAUUCCCGGAAGGUUCGGUUUAGAGGCUUUUCCUCCCACGGAUCCCUUCCUCCUCGUUCGCCUCCCGAAUCCCCGAGGGGCUGCAACCGCUCGGUCGGCCUCUAGACUGGGUUCUACAUCCGCAGCCUCUCGGUGGCCCCGCGCCCGCUCCCGGCGUCUACCCCGCCUCGCCGGGCGGCUCCCACUCCCCACGGCCGCUGCCCAGCCUGCGGCUUGCGCGUUGGGCGAGAACUGCAAACCAGGCUCAAGAGCGCACCCGCGCGGCACGGCCUGCGCGCCGCUCCCCGAGCCUCUUGAGUCCGAGCCGCGGAGCAGAGACCCGGCCGGGCUCGGGCUCGGGGCGCGACCCUCCGGACGCCGCCGCCUGCGCGGCGCCCCUGCCCCGCGCGCUGCCCCGGACUGGGAAAGGAGCCAGAGGCAGCGAGGUCGACCUGCGCGCCCCCGGGCUCGCACGCAAAGAGGAGGGGUCUGAUGAAGGGUGAGGGGCGCCCCUCCUGGAGGAGGCACCAGGACCGGCCUGGGAGUGGCGGACUGGAUGUCACUGAUGCAGAGCCGAGACCCCAAAGGGGGCCAGAGUGGAGGAGAGCCCACCGCCUUUCCCGUGGACCCUGGGACCCGGAGGAUGACAGUCAAGGUCGGAGCCGCUGUCUUCAAGCUGUCCUGUCUUUGAGGGGCGCUCAGACCCCCUGGACCAGGAGACUGUGAACUCUGCAGAGAAGGACGGUCUGACUCACCUCUGAACACCGGACCAGCACAGGAGCUGUGACCGCGUGUGGUUUCACAACAGAGGAGGCUCUGAUGCAUGUCUGCACCCCUGCUGUGGCUCCUCUCUCCUCUCAGGAUGGCCUGGCUGGGAGGAACUGACCCAGGCAGGUCAGUCGGACAACUGAGGGUGUACAGGGAAAGACCAGAGGGACACCAUGGUGGGGGUUAAUGUGGAAAAGAGCCCUCCCCAAGCCCAUCCUGGGAGAAGUACCUAGAAGGAGGUGGAGACUGUCCCUUCCUGUGCCCAGAACUUCAUAGUGAUGACGACAAACACCGAAAAACCAAGAGCCAUGCAAAAAGAAACGUGGCCAUCUUACAUCUAAGCAAAGAGCCUAUUCCCCCAUAUGUAAA
Bos taurus (domestic cattle) is the source of this 1126-nucleotide long non-coding RNA. The record is from Ensembl. Lineage: Eukaryota; Metazoa; Chordata; Mammalia; Artiodactyla; Bovidae.